CACUUUUUCUACCGCAGCUUGACUCAACAUGUGCUCAUAUUAAAUGAUGGAGAUAAUAUUUGUAAUGCUUGGCUCUGGCUGUGUCUCUGAAAAUGCUUUCGCUAUGAAGCACAAACAAACAGCAACACACACAUGGCACAUUUGAAGCAUUAGACUAGCAUCUGCCUUUUAUAACCUCUCUUGUUAUAAUUCAUCUCAGACCACCACUGGCAUAGUGCAUGAUGAUGCCAGUUAAGAUGAGGUGUAGGAUAUAUGAUUCCAGGUGGGAUUGGGUGUAGGAUGUAUGAUUCCAGGUAGAAUUGGGUGUAGGGUAUAUGAUUCCAGGUAGGAUUUGGGUGCAGUAUAUAUGAUUCCAGGUAGUAUUGGGUGUAGGAUAUAUGAUUCCAGGUAGAAUUGGGUGUAGUAUGUAUGAUUCCAGGUAGGAUUGGGUGUAGGGUAUAUGAUUCCAGGUAGGAUUGGGUGUAGGAUAUAUGAUUCCAGGUAGAAUUGGGUGUAGGAUGUAUGAUUCCAGGUAGGAUUGGGUGUAGGGUAUAUGAUUCCAGGUAGGAUUGGGUGUAGGGUAUAUGAUUCCAGGUAGAAUUGGGUGUAGGAUGUAUGAUUCCAGGUAGGAUUGGGUGUAGGGUAUAUGAUUCCAGGUAGGAUUGGGUGUAGGGUAUAUGAUUCCAGGUAGGAUUGGGUGUAGGAUGUAUGAUUCCAGGUAGGAUUGGGUGUAGGAUAUAUGAUUCCAGGUAGGAUUGGGUGUAGGGUAUAUGAUUCCAGGUAGGAUUGGGUGUAGGGUAUAUGAUUCCAGGUAGGAUUGGGUGUAGGAUGUAUGAUUCCAGGUAGGAUUGGGUGUAGGAUAUAUGAUUCCAGGUAGGAUUGGGUGUAGGGUAUAUGAUUCCAGGUAGGAUUGGGUGUAGGGUAUAUGAUUCCAGGUAGGAUUGGGUGUAGGAUGUAUGAUUCCAGGUAGGAUUGGGUGUAGGAUAUAUGAUUCCAGGUAGGAUUGGCUGUAGGGUAUAUGAUUCCAGUUAGGAUUGGGUGUAGGAUAUAUGAUUCCAGGUAGAAUUGGGUGUAGGAUGUAUGAUUCCAGGUAGAAUUGGGUGUAGGAUAUAUGAUUCCAGGUAGGAUUGUGUGCAGUAUAUAUGAUUCCAGGUAGUAUUGGGUGUAGGAUAUAUGAUUCCAGGUAGAAUUGGGUGUAGGGUAUAUGAUUCCAGGUAGGAUUGGGUGUAGGGUAUAUGAUUCCAGGUAGGAUUGGGUGUAGGAUGUAUGAUUCCAGGUAGGAUUGGGUGUAGGGUAUAUGAUUCCGCUGUUGCUGGAGCUCUCUUUCUCGUUCCUCUCUCUUUCUCUCUCUCGCUCUUUCUCUCUCUUUCUCUCUUUCUCUCUCUAUACUUGUCUUUCUCAGGUUGUGGCGUAGUCAUACUCAUAUGUACUGAUUGUUCUGUGCUCUCUCUGUCCCUCACCAUCUCUCCCUUCCCAUCUCUCCUUCCACAUCUCUCCCUCCCCAUCCCUCUCUCCAUAG
RNAcentral lists this long non-coding RNA (1498 nucleotides) under Salmo salar (Atlantic salmon). RNAcentral's name for it is "lncRNA (ENSSSAG00000110631.1, ENSSSAG00000114733.1)". Lineage: Eukaryota; Metazoa; Chordata; Actinopteri; Salmoniformes; Salmonidae. The record is from RNAcentral.